This 483-nucleotide ribosomal RNA is filed under the name uncultured bacterium. RNAcentral describes it as "partial 16S ribosomal RNA". It matches the Rfam family "Bacterial small subunit ribosomal RNA", at positions 30 to 507 of the family's 1533-position model. The record is from RNAcentral.
UUGCACGCUGGCGGCAGACCUAACACCUGCAAGUCGCGCGGAUGAAGGGAGCUUGCUCCUGGAUUCAGCGGCGGACGGGUGAGUAAUGCCUAGGAAUCUGCCUGGUAGUGGGGGAUAACGUCCGGAAACGGGCGCUAAUACCGCAUACGUCCUGAGGGAGAAAGUGGGGGAUCUUCGGACCUCACGCUAUCAGAUGAGCCUAGGUCGGAUUAGCUAGUUGGUGGGGUAAAGGCCUACCAAGGCGACGAUCCGUAACUGGUCUGAGAGGAUGAUCAGUCACACUGGAACUGAGACACGGUCCAGACUCCUACGGGAGGCAGCAGUGGGGAAUAUUGGACAAUGGGCGAAAGCCUGAUCCAGCCAUGCCGCGUGUGUGAAGAAGGUCUUCGGAUUGUAAAGCACUUUAAGUUGGGAGGAAGGGCAGUAAGUUAAUACCUUGCUGUUUUGACGUUACCAACAGAAUAAGCACCGGCUAACUUCGUG